AGUGAACGCUGGCGGCGUGCUUAACACAUGCAAGUCGAACGAGAACGGGUUAUAGCUUGCUAUAACUGUCAGCUAAGUGGCGCACGGGUGAGUAAUGUAUAGUUAACCUGCCCUCUAGAAAGGAAUAACAGUUGGAAACGACUGCUAAUGCCCUAUAUGCCUUUAAGACAUAAGUCUGCAAGGGAAACGCUUUAGUGCUAGAGGAUGGGACUGUAUGGUAUCAGCUAGUUGGUGAGGUAAAGGCUCACCAAGGCAAUGACGCCUAACUGGUUUGAGAGGAUGAUCAGUCACACUGGAACUGAGACACGGUCCAGACUCCUACGGGAGGCAGCAGUGGGGAAUAUUGCACAAUGGAGGAAACUCUGAUGCAGCAACGCCGCGUGGAGGAUGACACUUUUCGGAGCGUAAACUCCUUUUAUAUAGGAAGAUAAUGACGGUACUAUAUGAAUAAGCACCGGCUAACUCCGUGCCAGC
RNAcentral lists this ribosomal RNA (474 nucleotides) under uncultured bacterium. RNAcentral's name for it is "bacterial SSU rRNA". It matches the Rfam family "Bacterial small subunit ribosomal RNA", at positions 29 to 512 of the family's 1533-position model. The record is from RNAcentral.